CCCUGCAGAAGCCAUGUUAAAAUGUAAAUGGAACACAGACCAGAAUUGAAAGGACUUUUAUAAGGAAAUUCUGCAAAAUAAUGAGUAAGUAUUAAGAAGAAACAAAUCACCAAGGACAUUUAAUGAAAGAGAGAGAAAUUCUGAAAUACUCAAGUGCUGGAAGCAACCUGAACAUCCAUCUACAGGUGAAAGGAUGAACAUGAUAGGAAGAGGUAAAACUAUAGUGAUGAU
RNAcentral lists this long non-coding RNA (231 nucleotides) under Ictidomys tridecemlineatus (thirteen-lined ground squirrel). Its description in RNAcentral is "lncRNA (ENSSTOG00000032982.1)". The record is from RNAcentral. Lineage: Eukaryota; Metazoa; Chordata; Mammalia; Rodentia; Sciuridae.